RNAcentral lists this ribosomal RNA (528 nucleotides) under Mogulones pseudopollinarius. RNAcentral describes it as "partial 16S ribosomal RNA". It matches the Rfam family "Bacterial large subunit ribosomal RNA", at positions 1809 to 2611 of the family's 2925-position model. The record is from RNAcentral. Lineage: Eukaryota; Metazoa; Arthropoda; Insecta; Coleoptera; Curculionidae.
AAAAACAUGGCCUUUUGUAAAAAAUUUAAGGUCUAACCUGCUCAAUGAAUUUUAAAUAGCCGCAGUAUCUUAACUGUGCAAAGGUAGCAUAAUCAUUAGUUUCUUAAUUAGAAGCUGGAAUGAAAGGUUGAAUGAGAAAAUAGCUGUCUCUAUAAAAAUUUUAUAGAAUUUUAUUUUUAAGUUAAAAAGCUUAAAUAUUAAUAAAAGACGAGAAGACCCUAUAGAGUUUUAUAUUUAUAUAUAAUAUUUCUUUAAGUAUUUUAAAAUCUAUUAUUUUAAAAUAUUUGGUUGGGGUGAUUAGAAAAUUAAAUAAACUUUUCUUUAAUAAAGACAUUUAUAUAUGAAAAAAUGAUCCAGUUUUUAGAUUAUAAGAUAAAAUUACCUUAGGGAUAACAGCGUAAUUUUUUUUGAGAGUUCUUAUCGAAAAGAAAGAUUGCGACCUCGAUGUUGGAUUAAAAUAAAUUUUUGGUGUAGAAGCUAAAUUUAAUUAGGUCUGUUCGACCUUUAAAAUUUUACUUGAUCUGAGUU